AAUGCAGAGUAUUGGGGCAGUAUACAUGCUGCUGUAAAUGGACUUCAAAGCCUCUCUGCAUCACUCUGGGUGUGAAUAAAGUCAACUAAUGAACUUGACAACCCUGGACAAAAGAAGCUGCAAAAUCUGCAUGCAUCCCAGUCUAGGUGAGGCCAGUGGGAUCUCCAUGGGCCACAGUGAAGAAAUAUCUUUUACCUGUGAUAAUAUCUUCAAUGGCACCAUCUUUUCCCUCAUAUACAUGUCUGUUAUCUUUAACUUGUCGUCUUCUUAAUUCUGCAAUUAACUCUUGCUGCUGCCUCUUUGAUUUAUGAGAAGGAGACUGAGAAGAAAGAAGGGCAGAGAUUAGUGAGGCCAGCACCCAUUAGGAGUUUGUGAAAAUCCAAAAUGUGCCUGAGCAUUAUGUUACUAAUAAGCAGCUUCGGCCAAAAACACACACACAUCCCACAUUCUGCUCAGUUGCAGAGAACUCAAGCUUCUGGGAAGGAAACAAAAACUUCCACUGACGAACACACAAAACUUCACCUGGCAGCAACAAGAAGGCUGGAGUCUACGGCAACAAGAGGCAACUGGUAAUGACCAUAGAUGUCUUAAACUGUGUUGCCAAGGAUCACAAUGAAGAAAACUUUGGACUGCCAGCCUUUAUGCUCUUUACCUACUAACGAGGUUGCCCUCCAUGAAAUGUUCCCUCCAUUCCUGCUAGCAAGUCCCUCCAGCUAUCAAGGCCAGCACCAAUGGGCAUCUGCAUAAAGCCUUCUCUGGAUGCUAAGCCCUCUGGUCACUGGGUCAUCUGGUGUGGCCUCUCUGUAUAUCCAACUAAGUUCCAGAUGUCUAUACGCUUGGAUAUGCUACACAAACAUGCUCUUAGCCUCAUUCCAGUGGUUGCAGAACAAAGUAAUCAAUGAGCAUAUUUCCAUUUGCCAAGUGUCCAGGCACCAGAAGGAAGUGGUCAGGAUCCUGGGCACACCUGGCUUGCUGGUCCUUUGUAUGGCUUGCUCUGAAGAGCCCUCUCA
This 1010-nucleotide long non-coding RNA is filed under the name Homo sapiens (human). Its description in RNAcentral is "long non-coding RNA NONHSAT242640". The record is from RNAcentral. Lineage: Eukaryota; Metazoa; Chordata; Mammalia; Primates; Hominidae.